Molecule: ribosomal RNA, 523 nt
Filed under: uncultured bacterium
Lineage: Bacteria
Description: partial 16S ribosomal RNA
Rfam family: Bacterial small subunit ribosomal RNA
Source: RNAcentral
GACGAACGCUGGCGGCGUGCCUAAUACAUGCAAGUCGAACGCUUUUUCUUUCACCGGAGCUUGCUCCACCGAAAGAAAAAGAGUGGCGAACGGGUGAGUAACACGUGGGUAACCUGCCCAUCAGAAGGGGAUAACACUUGGAAACAGGUGCUAAUACCGUAUAACACUAUUUUCCGCAUGGAAGAAAGUUGAAAGGCGCUUUUGCGUCACUGAUGGAUGGACCCGCGGUGCAUUAGCUAGUUGGUGAGGUAACGGCUCACCAAGGCAACGAUGCAUAGCCGACCUGAGAGGGUGAUCGGGCAAACUGGGGCUGAGACACGGCCCAGACUCCUACGGGAGGCAGCAGUAGGGAAUCUUCGGCAAUGGACGAAAGUCUGACCGAGCAACGCCGCGUGAGUGAAGAAGGUUUUCGGAUCGUAAAACUCUGUUGUUAGAGAAGAACAAGGAUGAGAGUAAAACGUUCAUCCCUUGACGGUAUCUAACCAGAAAGCCACGGCUAACUACGUGCCAGCAGCCGCCGUAA